Molecule: ribosomal RNA, 372 nt
Filed under: Klebsiella aerogenes
Lineage: Bacteria; Pseudomonadati; Pseudomonadota; Gammaproteobacteria; Enterobacterales; Enterobacteriaceae
Also listed under: 1 other name
Description: partial 16S ribosomal RNA
Rfam family: Bacterial small subunit ribosomal RNA
Source: RNAcentral
ACAAAGACUGACGCUCAGGUGCGAAAGCGUGGGGAGCAAACAGGAUUAGAUACCCUGGUAGUCCACGCCGUAAACGAUGUCGACUUGGAGGUUGUGCCCUUGAGGCGUGGCUUCCGGAGCUAACGCGUUAAGUCGACCGCCUGGGGAGUACGGCCGCAAGGUUAAAACUCAAAUGAAUUGACGGGGGCCCGCACAAGCGGUGGAGCAUGUGGUUUAAUUCGAUGCAACGCGAAGAACCUUACCUACUCUUGACAUCCAGAGAACUUAGCAGAGAUGCUUUGGUGCCUUCGGGAACUCUGAGACAGGUGCUGCAUGGCUGUCGUCAGCUCGUGUUGUGAAAUGUUGGGUUAAGUCCCGCAACGAGCGCAACCC